RNAcentral lists this ribosomal RNA (1903 nucleotides) under Escherichia coli. RNAcentral's name for it is "partial 23S ribosomal RNA". It matches the Rfam family "Bacterial large subunit ribosomal RNA", at positions 344 to 2236 of the family's 2925-position model. The record is from RNAcentral. Lineage: Bacteria; Pseudomonadati; Pseudomonadota; Gammaproteobacteria; Enterobacterales; Enterobacteriaceae.
GGAAAGGCGCGCGAUACAGGGUGACAGCCCCGUACACAAAAAUGCACAUGCUGUGAGCUCGAUGAGUAGGGCGGGACACGUGGUAUCCUGUCUGAAUAUGGGGGGACCAUCCUCCAAGGCUAAAUACUCCUGACUGACCGAUAGUGAACCAGUACCGUGAGGGAAAGGCGAAAAGAACCCCGGCGAGGGGAGUGAAAAAGAACCUGAAACCGUGUACGUACAAGCAGUGGGAGCACGCUUAGGCGUGUGACUGCGUACCUUUUGUAUAAUGGGUCAGCGACUUAUAUUCUGUAGCAAGGUUAACCGAAUAGGGGAGCCGAAGGGAAACCGAGUCUUAACUGGGCGUUAAGUUGCAGGGUAUAGACCCGAAACCCGGUGAUCUAGCCAUGGGCAGGUUGAAGGUUGGGUAACACUAACUGGAGGACCGAACCGACUAAUGUUGAAAAAUUAGCGGAUGACUUGUGGCUGGGGGUGAAAGGCCAAUCAAACCGGGAGAUAGCUGGUUCUCCCCGAAAGCUAUUUAGGUAGCGCCUCGUGAAUUCAUCUCCGGGGGUAGAGCACUGUUUCGGCAAGGGGGUCAUCCCGACUUACCAACCCGAUGCAAACUGCGAAUACCGGAGAAUGUUAUCACGGGAGACACACGGCGGGUGCUAACGUCCGUCGUGAAGAGGGAAACAACCCAGACCGCCAGCUAAGGUCCCAAAGUCAUGGUUAAGUGGGAAACGAUGUGGGAAGGCCCAGACAGCCAGGAUGUUGGCUUAGAAGCAGCCAUCAUUUAAAGAAAGCGUAAUAGCUCACUGGUCGAGUCGGCCUGCGCGGAAGAUGUAACGGGGCUAAACCAUGCACCGAAGCUGCGGCAGCGACACUAUGUGUUGUUGGGUAGGGGAGCGUUCUGUAAGCCUGUGAAGGUGUGCUGUGAGGCAUGCUGGAGGUAUCAGAAGUGCGAAUGCUGACAUAAGUAACGAUAAAGCGGGUGAAAAGCCCGCUCGCCGGAAGACCAAGGGUUCCUGUCCAACGUUAAUCGGGGCAGGGUGAGUCGACCCCUAAGGCGAGGCCGAAAGGCGUAGUCGAUGGGAAACAGGUUAAUAUUCCUGUACUUGGUGUUACUGCGAAGGGGGGACGGAGAAGGCUAUGUUGGCCGGGCGACGGUUGUCCCGGUUUAAGCGUGUAGGCUGGUUUUCCAGGCAAAUCCGGAAAAUCAAGGCUGAGGCGUGAUGACGAGGCACUACGGUGCUGAAGCAACAAAUGCCCUGCUUCCAGGAAAAGCCUCUAAGCAUCAGGUAACAUCAAAUCGUACCCCAAACCGACACAGGUGGUCAGGUAGAGAAUACCAAGGCGCUUGAGAGAACUCGGGUGAAGGAACUAGGCAAAAUGGUGCCGUAACUUCGGGAGAAGGCACGCUGAUAUGUAGGUGAAGUCCCUUGCGGAUGGAGCUGAAAUCAGUCGAAGAUACCAGCUGGCUGCAACUGUUUAUUAAAAACACAGCACUGUGCAAACACGAAAGUGGACGUAUACGGUGUGACGCCUGCCCGGUGCCGGAAGGUUAAUUGAUGGGGUCAGCGCAAGCGAAGCUCUUGAUCGAAGCCCCGGUAAACGGCGGCCGUAACUAUAACGGUCCUAAGGUAGCGAAAUUCCUUGUCGGGUAAGUUCCGACCUGCACGAAUGGCGUAAUGAUGGCCAGGCUGUCUCCACCCGAGACUCAGUGAAAUUGAACUCGCUGUGAAGAUGCAGUGUACCCGCGGCAAGACGGAAAGACCCCGUGAACCUUUACUAUAGCUUGACACUGAACAUUGAGCCUUGAUGUGUAGGAUAGGUGGGAGGCUUUGAAGUGUGGACGCCAGUCUGCAUGGAGCCGACCUUGAAAUACCACCCUUUAAUGUUUGAUGUUCUAACGUGGACCCGU